AGGGAUCCGAAAGGUGACCGACCUUCGGGAGCCAUUACAGGUGUUGCAUGGCUGUCGUCAGCUCGUGUCGUGAGAUGUUCGGUUAAGUCCGCUAACGAGCGCAACCCUCGCUGUGUGUUAUAUGUGUCACACAGGACUGCUGGUAUUAAGCCGGAGGAAGGUGGGGACGACGUCAAGUCAGCAUGACCUUUAUAUCCAGGGCUACACACACGCUACAAUGGUCAGUACAAUGGGUUGCCAAGCCGCGAGGCGGAGCCAAUCCUAAAAAGCUGGCCUCAGUUCAGAUUGCAGUCUGAAACUCGACUGCAUGAAGUCGGAGUUGCUAGUAAACGCAGGUCAGCUAUACUGCGUUGAAUACGUUCCCGGGGCUU
Molecule: ribosomal RNA, 371 nt
Filed under: uncultured Anaerolineaceae bacterium
Lineage: Bacteria; Bacillati; Chloroflexota; Anaerolineae; Anaerolineales; Anaerolineaceae
Description: bacterial SSU rRNA
Rfam family: Bacterial small subunit ribosomal RNA
Source: RNAcentral